CAACAGUAAAAAAACAAUCCAGUUAGAACAUGGGCAAAAGACAUGAGACAUUUCACCAAAGAGGAUACACAGAUGGCAAAAAAGCAUAUCAUUAGCCAUGAGGGAAGGGAAAAUUGAAACCACAAUGAGGUUCCAUUACACAUUAGAAUGGGAGAAAAGUGACAAUACCUAAUGCUUGUGAGGAUGCAGAGAAACUGGAUCACUCAUUCAGCGCUGGUGGGAAUGUAAAAUGGUCUAGCCAUUCUAGAAAACAGUUUGAAAGUUUCUUAAAAACCUAAACACACAACUAUCAUAGGACCCAAUAGGACCCAUAGGACCCAGAUUUAUCCCAGAUAAAUGUUUCAGGUUUUUGCGGAGUUUUUUAUUCUUGGUCAUAUUUUUUUUCCAUUAUAUUUUCUAUUGAGGUUAUGAUAGUUUACAACCUUGUGAAAUUUCAGUUGUACAUUAUUAUUUGUCAGUCAUCUUACAGGUGCACCCCUUUACCCUUUGUGCCCACUCCCCUCCCCCCAGUAACCACUAUUCUGUUCUCUUUGUCCACGUGUUGUUUAUCUUCCACAUAUGAGUGGAGUCAUACAGAGACUGUCUUUUCGCUAUCUGGCUUAUUUGGCUUAAAAUAAACCCUCAAGGUCCAUCCAUGUUCUUGUGAAUGGGACGAUUUUACCCUUUUUUAUGGCCGAGUAGUAUUCCAUUGUGUAUAUAUACCACAUCUUCUUUAUCCAAUCAUCAGUCGAUAGGCCCUUGGGAUGCUUCCACGUCUUGGCUAUUGUGAAUAGUGCUGCAAUGAACAUAGGGGUGCAGAAGUCUCUUUGAAUUGCUGAUUUCAAGUUCUUUUAUUCCAGAUGAAUGAAGACUUACGUCCACACAAAGACCUGGACGUGAAUGUUAACAGCAGCUGUAUUUGUAAUAGCUGGAGACUGGAAACGACUCAGAGUCCUUCAAUGGGUGAAUGGGUCAGUGAACCCGGGCCAUCCACUCCAGGGAAUCCUACUCAGCAGUAAGAAGAAAGGAACUGCUGGCACACACCACCUGGAUGAAGCUCCCAAGAAUUCGCUGAGUGAAAAACGCCGUUGUCCGAAGGCUACACACUGUGGGAUUCCAUCACCGUGACAUUCAUAAAAUGACAAAAUUAUAGAAAUGGAGGGAGAUUGCAAUAUUAUCAUAUAGUUUUGCAAGAUGUUGCCAUCGGGGGAAACCAGGUGAACAUGAGAUCUCUCUGUUUUAUUUCUUACAACUCCAUCUCAGAAUAACAAGUUUAUGGCUGGCUUAGUCCUACACCAUCCUGGGAGGCAGGUGAGACCAGAAGUGGGACUGGUGUCCACACACAUAGCCCCAGGCCCACAGUGUGUCCACGGCCCCUUUCUGGCAGGGCCUCAUUGCCCAGGGCUCUGACAUCCUUCAGGCAUCCUCUGUCUGUCCCACAUCCGCAGCGGCUAUGUGCCUCUCUUUCCUCUCAGUCCCAAAAAGCAUCAGUUAUUGAACACAUUGUCUAUGCCAGAUGGCCAUGUGGCUGCAGAUGAGCAGCCACCAGUGUCUUGCUUGCUGCCCAGGAGCCUCUCCAGUGACUGGAUGGAGAAGACCCAGUCUGGGGGUCAGGUAGAUGGUCUGUGCCCAACACAACCCCACCCCCCAACUGCACCCUGCCAGGCUUGGCAGGAGGCCUGGCACUGGGGCUGGCAUCAACUGGGCCCAGAAGGAGGUCAUGGAGGCCUCGCUUACGCUUGUUUCCCAUAAUUCUGGCUGCUUCCAGUCCCUUUCCUCUCCAGACACUGACGCAGAGCCUACCAACACGCUGAGGCCCCCUUUCUCAGCUUCCUGCUCGGCCACCGUAUCUUCUCAUUUCCUGUUUACCCAUCUCCCCUUUGGAAUUGCCUUGAGUUCCACGGGUGUGACAUCAACAGGCCUGGAAUGCCAUCCCCAGUCGCCACGCGAUCACCAAGACCACCACUGUCGUGCUUCUCCAUCCUUGCCCCCCCACCCCUUGUCACAGCUGUCUCCUCCCUGGGGUUCCAGGAGGCCCGGGCUGCUUCCUUCCCUUGAAAAUCCAUGUUGUCACAAUUGGGACUGUCGCUCUUUUUGAUGCUCAAAAUAACCUCGAAGACCAGUUGCAGCCAAACAGUCCCCCUGGGCACAGAUGGGGAGACUGAGCCAGGCCUGCUCCUGACCUCCUGACCUCGGGACAGCUGGGCCUGGGGACAGUGGCCCGGGACAGGGCACUGGAGGGUGCAAAGGCGUUCUGGUUGUACUCCUGGUUACACUGGUGUCUCUCAUCGGAAUCGUGGACCCAGGCCUGGGGAGGAGGUCUGGCAGAGCCCUCAAGGCCACUGCGGCAGCAAGGCCCAAAGGCUUCUCUGCUUUUCUGGGCCCCAACUUGGCCAUCGUCUGCCUGGGGUCCCUCCGCCCUUCUCUAGGCGGUCCCUUGGGCCUCUGUGCCCAGCCCCUUUCUCCUGGCCUGUGGUCAGCAUCUCAUGGGGACCUGUGGCAUGUUGACCCCCCAGUGUGAACCCUGGGAGAGGAGGGUGGCGACCACCACUUUCUCCUGCAUGUGCUGCUGUGUGUUGCAGCCGGACAGGGCUGGUGGCCGCCAUGCAGGCCAGAAGCACCAGUCCUACCUACUCUGUGCCCUCUGCCUGCAGCUGGCAACUGCCUGGGAAGUCCUGGAGGGAGGACAGGGCUAGCACACCGGCAGUACAUCUUGCCCCGGGGGCCAUGCACGGCUGCUCACGAGGCUAGAGCGUGGGGCAGCACACGCCCCAGAAGACACCAGCACCUGGGGGUGGUUGUGAAGAGUCGUGGCUGCAAAAAUGAGUCUGGUAAGAGUUUGUGAGAGGGAAAUGAGACCCAGUGAUUCCUUUUUCUUGCGAGGUCUCACUUGCGUGUCCCCGGUUCCAGCUCCCAAAUGUACUCUGGUGAUGCUUCUUUGGUCUGACCCGGCUCAGCCACCCCUGGUGGGAUGCUGGCCAGAACUGCUCAGGCUUGGUAGCUGGGCCCAUGCCUCCCACAGGCUGCUUGGAGCCACUGGUGAUGUUGAAGAGGCCCUCCUUCCCUGCAAGAGCAGCCUGGGCUCGGGAACUCGGUCUCCUGCCACUCCCCCGCCUCGAGAGGACCCUGAUAGUGGUCCUGCCCAUUGGCCUUGGAGCAGCCCCGUGGGCUCCACUUUACAGACAGCCUUUGGAACAGGGAGGGGACAGGCGCCGAUUUCAGCGCAGGACAGGAGGGCACCCCGCUGGAGAGCGACUGCCUUGCCUCGUGCAUUCGUUGUUGGGGCUGGCCUGGGCUGGCCCAGCACCUGAGACGUCUCGCCUCAUCAGUUUGCAGGCAUCAUGGCGUAUGGUGGUGGGUCUGUCUACCACCAACUGGGAGCCCCUCCCCUCCUGAGGGCUUGGUGCGGUUCUGGCCUGUGGUGAGUGUGCAGGGAACGCCUGAUGGGGACUGAGGCCAAACGGGAGCAGAGAGGAGCAGGGCAGAGCCGGGCCCUCACCCUGGAGGCGGGAGCAGGAGGCCUCGCCCAGGCAUUGGGGAUGGCAGCCCCUCACCUCCUAAGCAUCCACCGUGAUCCUGGCCCCAGACCUCUGCCCUGUGCCGGGCAGGCAGAGCUCUGCAGAUGGCUCUUCUCUGCAGGCAGAGGAACCCCCGACGACCUGCAGCCAGAAAGAGGGGUGGGAAGGAGAUGAUGAAGGGGAGUGAACUGAGACCCUGAGUCCUUGCCCUCACCCAAGUAUGACCAGUCGCCAGAGACCCAGGAAACCAGAUGACGGAUGUGUGCUCUGAGGGCUCUGGUCGCCGCCUUCUCACCUGGGCAUGACAGCCAGUGCACCUGUGCCACCAACCCACUCUGCCCUCCCCGGCUGGUGCCCGGGCCCCAAGGCCAGCAUGCACCAGGCAGGGUGCCACCAGCAGGGCAGGUACCAGGGCCACGGAGGGCCUUGGCCUGCGCAGCUGGGCAGUGGGCACCAGAGCCCUCGCUGCGUCCUGUUGAUUCUGGGAGGGUUUUCCGAUCUCUCUGGCCUGAUGCUCGCAUGGCCAGCCGGGGAGCUGGGAUGCAGUGGAGAGGUGGAGCCAGCCUUUGCAACCCCAAGCCCCGGCCCUCGCUGGCAGAGAGGUGGCCGUGGGGGAGGGGCAGGAGCUUCCCUCCGCUGUCUGGCGGGCCGCCUCCAGAUCUAGGUCAUCGUGCUUCAGCCUCACUCUCUGCCUUCCGCAAGCUGUGUUCCGUGGGAUUUUUUAAAUACCUGAAUGCCUCUGGGAGAAACUCAGUGUUGGUGCCAUUUCGUAUCUGCACCUUCGGCUUUUCGUGACAUUACAGAGCUACAGCGAGGACAGAGAGUCUCAGAGAUGCCAGGACACCUUGAGGAGGUCGCCUCCAGCCCCCUGGCCGUGGGACCCGUCCUGCUUUACUGCAAACACAGCAAUGUGUUUGACCAGGAGGUGCAGCCCCAGGCUCCAACAAGGUGUCCCGUAAUGGAUGAAAAAUUCUGAAUCGCAGACGCAUCUGGUCCUGAGGCUUUCUUUGGAUGAGAGCUGGAGCAGCGGAGUGUCCCCCACGCAUCCCAGUUCUGGAGAAGGAGAACAGGCUUUGGCCACCGACGGACCUUGGCAGAGCAAUGGUGCUGCUUACGUGACUUUUCCACUUAGUGAGCAAACAACUCUGUGCUGGGUGCUGUUGAUUCAGAGAUGGAGUCCCAGGAACCCCAAAUCCUCCUCCUCCCUCGCCCCUCACCGCCCUGGAACCCAGGGGUCAGCCAAGAGACCAAGGGCACAAGAGGGGCUGGGGAGGGAGAAGAGGCCAUGGAGGGUGCAGCAGGCCAUCUCCCUCCAAGGAGACCCUUGCCUGGGGAGCUAGUGCCCACAGGCCUAACUGUCCCUUUCUGAGGGACAGAAGGCGCCAGACGUGCCACUUGGGGGCACCCUGGAGAGGUCCAGGCAGACAGUGACAGAGAGAACUGGAGGCACUCAUGCUUGUGAACUCAUUGAAGUUCUGGGGCCUCAGCUUCCCCAUCUGUAAAUGGGGUGCAGGCCCUGGCUCUGCCUCCGCAGUGUCCCUGGCUGCCCUCCAGCACAGGAGGCCGAGACCCCCCUGCACCCCUUCUCAGGGUGGUCGCAGGUCUGCCUGUGGGUCUGCAGAGCAGAGCGUGCAGAGUUGGGGUUGGGGUGGGGCAGGCUUCAGGUUGGGCCAGUCCUGUCCCAGAUGUCAGCUCAGUUACCCUUCACAAAUAUCCCAGGAAAAGAGAGGGGGAACAUUGGCCCAGGACAAUUGCUUGGCCUCUGCAGUUUGCCCAGAUGUGUCCACUGCCAGAGCACACGGGCACAGCACCCAGCAGGCUGCAGGAGGGUAGCUGGGGUGGUGGCCCUGUGCCAGGUAUCAAGCCUUCUGUGACCAGCACCUUUCCAGCUGUAGCCGGGAACAGAACUCCCCAGGCCAGGGCCUCACACGUCCCUCGUGACGAGGAGAGAAGGCGGCAUCCACUGACCUCAGCGGGCAGAGCGCGCAGGGGCUAGCAUGAGGCAGCGAGACCCCCGGGGGCAGGCUUUGCAGAAGGCCCACAUCGAGGAACAGUCAGAGCCCAGGCACGGACAGGGGUCCCGCGAGAGCGCAGGGAGCCAGGGUCCGGGGCGGGCAGCGGCAGGUCCGCGCGGAGGGCGAGGGCAGCGCGCAUCUCGCCUGGUUCCCGGGCGCUGCCGAGAGACUGGAGGCGAGGGCGUCGCCGGGAGGCGGCGGCGCUGGGGCCUUUGGGGGGCGCCUGGUCCCCGCCCGCGCCGGCCGCGCCGGGUCGCGCGUGGGCGCGGCG
This 5783-nucleotide long non-coding RNA is filed under the name Equus asinus (donkey). Its description in RNAcentral is "lncRNA (ENSEASG00005036746.1)". The record is from RNAcentral. Lineage: Eukaryota; Metazoa; Chordata; Mammalia; Perissodactyla; Equidae.